CAGCCGCCACGGUAAUACGUAGGUCCCGAGCGUUGUCCGGAUUUAUUGGGCGUAAAGCGAGCGCAGGCGGUUAGAUAAGUCUGAAGUUAAAGGCUGUGGCUUAACCAUAGUACGCUUUGGAAACUGUUUAACUUGAGUGCAAGAGGGGAGAGUGGAAUUCCAUGUGUAGCGGUGAAAUGCGUAGAUAUAUGGAGGAACACCAGUGGCGAAGGCGGCUCUCUGGUCUGUAACUGACGCUGAGGCUCGAAAGCGUGGGGAGCAAACAGGAUUAGAUACCCCUGUAGUCCCUGUCUCUUAUACC
This 301-nucleotide ribosomal RNA is filed under the name uncultured bacterium. RNAcentral's name for it is "partial 16S ribosomal RNA". It matches the Rfam family "Bacterial small subunit ribosomal RNA", at positions 509 to 808 of the family's 1533-position model. The record is from RNAcentral.